CCUAGCCGGAGCUGAAGCUCCAUGGAUUAAAAAAUGCUCGACGCAGGCAUGGAGGUGCUGGCGGUUUGUUCCAGAUCUGUGCAAGGGGCGGCACCAUGUGAUUCAAUUUUGAAUAGCCCUUUUGUGUAAUCUGCCCGCUCAUCCAAGCUACCACGUCGCUCAUUGAUCGCUUCAAGCCCCAGGCCGCCAAAGCACGGGCUUAAUUCUGGAGCCCCUAAUGAAGGAAGAGGUCCUCAUAUGCAAGAUCCUGGUGCCGAGCGACAAAUUUCUUUUGGCCA
Long non-coding RNA from Uranotaenia lowii, 278 nucleotides. RefSeq lists it as uncharacterized. The transcript is spliced from 3 exons. The record is from RefSeq and is a predicted model, not a curated record. Lineage: Eukaryota; Metazoa; Arthropoda; Insecta; Diptera; Culicidae.